GAUGAUUUUAGUGCUUGCACUAAAUGAAACUAGAUACAAGCGAGCGGCGGACGGGUGAGUAACACGUGGGUAACCUGCCCAAGAGACUGGGAUAACACCUGGAAACAGAUGCUAAUACCGGAUAACAACACUAGACGCAUGUCUAGAGUUUGAAAGAUGGUUCUGCUAUCACUCUUGGAUGGACCUGCGGUGCAUUAGCUAGUUGGUAAGGUAACGGCUUACCAAGGCAAUGAUGCAUAGCCGAGUUGAGAGACUGAUCGGCCACAUUGGGACUGAGACACGGCCCAAACUCCUACGGGAGGCAGCAGUAGGGAAUCUUCCACAAUGGACGAAAGUCUGAUGGAGCAACGCCGCGUGAGUGAAGAAGGGUUUCGGCUCGUAAAGCUCUGUUGGUAGUGAAGAAAGAUAGAGGUAGUAACUGGCCUUUAUUUGACGGUAAUUACUUAGAAAGUCACGGCUAACUACGUGCCAGCAGCCGCGGUAAUACGUAGGUGGCAAGCGUUGUCCGGAUUUAUUGGGCGUAAAGCGAGUGCAGGCGGUUCAAUAAGUCUGAUGUGAAAGCCUUCGGCUCAACCGGAGAAUUGCAUCAGAAACUGUUGAACUUGAGUGCAGAAGAGGAGAGUGGAACUCCAUUGGUAG
This 639-nucleotide ribosomal RNA is filed under the name Lactobacillaceae bacterium. RNAcentral's name for it is "bacterial SSU rRNA". It matches the Rfam family "Bacterial small subunit ribosomal RNA", at positions 66 to 678 of the family's 1533-position model. Lineage: Bacteria; Bacillati; Bacillota; Bacilli; Lactobacillales; Lactobacillaceae. The record is from RNAcentral.